Molecule: ribosomal RNA, 379 nt
Filed under: uncultured cyanobacterium
Lineage: Bacteria; Bacillati; Cyanobacteriota
Description: bacterial SSU rRNA
Rfam family: Bacterial small subunit ribosomal RNA
Source: RNAcentral
CGAAAGCCUGACGGAGCAAGACCGCGUGAGGGAGGAAGGCUCUUGGGUUGUAAACCUCUUUUCUCAGGGAAGAAGCUCUGACGGUACCUGAGGAAUCAGCCUCGGCUAACUCCGUGCCAGCAGCCGCGGUAAUACGGAGGAGGCAAGCGUUAUCCGGAAUUAUUGGGCGUAAAGCGUCCGCAGGUGGCUUAACAAGUCUGCUGUUAAAGACCGAAGCUUAACUUCGGGCAGGCGGUGGAAACUGUUAGGCUAGAGACCGGUAGGGGUAGAGGGAAUUCCCAGUGUAGCGGUGAAAUGCGUAGAGAUUGGGAAGAACACCAGUGGCGAAGGCGCUCUACUGGGCCGGUACUGACACUCAGGGACGAAAGCUAGGGGAGCG